This 480-nucleotide ribosomal RNA is filed under the name uncultured bacterium. RNAcentral describes it as "partial 16S ribosomal RNA". It matches the Rfam family "Bacterial small subunit ribosomal RNA", at positions 29 to 507 of the family's 1533-position model. The record is from RNAcentral.
AUGAACGCUGGCUGCGUGCUUAACACAUGCAAGUCGAACGAAGCACUUUAUUUGAUUUCCUUCGGGACUGAUUAUUUUGUGACUGAGUGGCGGACGGAUGAGUAACGCGUGGGUAACCUGCCUUGUACAGGGGGAUAACAGUUGGAAACGGCUGCUAAUACCGCAUAAGCGCACGGCAUCGCAUGAUGCAGUGUGAAAAACUCCGGUGGUAUAAGAUGGACCCGCGUUGGAUUAGCUAGUUGGUGAGGUAACGGCCCACCAAGGCGACGAUCCAUAGCCGACCUGAGAGGGUGACCGGCCACAUUGGGACUGAGACACGGCCCAAACUCCUACGGGAGGCAGCAGUGGGGAAUAUUGCACAAUGGGCGAAAGCCUGAUGCAGCGACGCCGCGUGAGCGAAGAAGUAUUUCGGUAUGUAAAGCUCUAUCAGCAGGGAAGAUAAUGACGGUACCUGACUAAGAAGCACCGGCUAAAUACGUG